GAUGAACGCUGACAGAAUGCUUAACACAUGCAAGUCAACUUGAACUUCGGUUUGGGUGGCGGGCGGGUGAGUAACGCGUAAAGAACUUGCCUCACAGUUAGGGACAACAUUUGGAAACGAAUGCUAAUACCUGAUAUUAUGAUUUUAGGGCAUCCUAGAAUUAUGAAAGCUAUAUGCGCUGUGAGAGAGCUUUGCGUCCCAUUAGCUAGUUGGAGAGGUAACGGCUCACCAAGGCGAUGAUGGGUAGCCGGCCUGAGAGGGUGAACGGCCACAAGGGGACUGAGACACGGCCCUUACUCCUACGGGAGGCAGCAGUGGGGAAUAUUGGACAAUGGACCAAGAGUCUGAUCCAGCAAUUCUGUGUGCACGAUGAAGUUUUUCGGAAUGUAAAGUGCUUUCAGUUGGGAAGAAAAAAAUGACGAUACCAACAGAAGAAGUGACGGCUAAAUACGUG
RNAcentral lists this ribosomal RNA (454 nucleotides) under uncultured bacterium. RNAcentral describes it as "partial 16S ribosomal RNA". It matches the Rfam family "Bacterial small subunit ribosomal RNA", at positions 28 to 507 of the family's 1533-position model. The record is from RNAcentral.